Molecule: long non-coding RNA, 916 nt
Organism: Leptonychotes weddellii (Weddell seal)
Lineage: Eukaryota; Metazoa; Chordata; Mammalia; Carnivora; Phocidae
Source: RefSeq, a predicted model, not a curated record
CUCGGGGAAUCCGUAGUCCAGCUCCUCAUUGAGGGGCAGCAGGUCCACGUCGUGCAUGGCGAUGUAGUCCGUGCUGUUGCUGGUCUCCAGGAAGCCCACGUUGAUGAGGGCCGCGCGGUUGAACCUGCGCAGGGGGGUGGCCGAGGCUGAGCAGGCGGGUGCGGGGGGCUUGCUGUCCCCCCGACAGUGAGCAGGAGCCUGUCCUCCGCAGCACCCGGCCUGGCGCCCCACGCCGCCUUCCCUGGGGGGGAUGCCCGGCCCCCCCCGCCCCCCCGGGCUCAGCUCACACAGAUCUACCGAGCCCCCACCAUGUGCCGGAAACCGCCCAGAUCACUGCAGUGCCCGCACUGAGAAAUCAAAGCCCUGCCUUCUGGGAGCUGACAUGCUUACAAGGGAGAAAAAUAAGUAUGUGCCCAGCCAGACCCUGGAAGCAAAGUCAUCAGUCGAGGCUGAGGAGGAGGAAAGAGGGGGCAGAGCUGCAUCAGAGAGCCGAGAGGCAGCAGGCCAGAGGAGCACGGGGCUCCAGGCAGGCCCUUCACUGCCAGGAAGACCAGCCACCUCUCCAGCCACAUCCUGCGGCCCAUGGGCCGAGGGACUGAUGCUACCGAGGGACUGAUGCUACCGAUGGACUGUGGAAUCCAAGCUGGGGGAAGACACAGUGAGGACCAGGAGGGGUGGGCUGUGAAAACUGGGGCAACUGUGGCCUAAAGGGCCGGGUGGGGCCCCAGAGCCUUUGGACCUAUCUCCCAGCGGAGUGAGCAGCUUCGAAGCUGUGGUCUUGACCCGCCCUUCCCCGAAUACCCACAGCCAAUCCACUAGAAAGCUCCUCCCCACCACAUCUCCCACAGAGCCAAGACACCCUCACCUCUAACCACCCAGUACCCCUCUGGUGUCCAAGUAAAAGCUAUUCCUCAUA